CCAGCAAUGGGAUUACAGGCUUU
Molecule: non-coding RNA, 23 nt
Filed under: Cricetulus griseus (Chinese hamster)
Lineage: Eukaryota; Metazoa; Chordata; Mammalia; Rodentia; Cricetidae
Source: RNAcentral